Clupea harengus (Atlantic herring) is the source of this 1053-nucleotide long non-coding RNA. NCBI's taxonomy places the organism in Eukaryota, Metazoa, Chordata, Actinopteri, Clupeiformes, Clupeidae. The record is from Ensembl.
CACACACACACACACUUCUGUGAACUGGGGCAUAGUUAUGAUAACUAAAGACAAAUACACUCAGAUACAUACAUACAAAUACACAUAUGGCUCAUGUUAAACAUUACCAAAAAUAAUCCAUUGGUCUGUUCCAGGUCGUUUACCCUUGUCAAGCCGUCUUCCAGUCUCUCUCUCUCUGUGUGUUUGUGUGUAUUUGCACAUAUCUGUGUAGUGUGUAGGCCAUCCUUGUUCUUGAUUCACUCAUCACUAACAUGAAUCUGCUCUGCUAAUGUAAGGGAAUAACUGAUUUCCUGUGGUGUCAUAUACCAGGGUGGGAUUCAUGAAAGACAACUGAAAAAAUAAACAUUUUUCUCUCAGAAGGGGCAUAUUAGUUCACUCUUGGGAAAUAUGGCAAACGCAUCUUCAUCAGUUAAACGUUUGUGGCAAAAGUUGUUCCAAAUCAGAAGGAAUGCAUGGAGAACACACAUUUAGGAAGAAAGAAAGGGGCUCCCUCUGUUCAGACAUGUCUGUUCCUCGUAGUGCUGGUUCAUUAUCAGGAGAUUCAGGAAGUUCAUGAAGUGGAUGGCUAAUGACCUGAGGACCAUCAUUAUCGUGGCAGACCAUGUGCGGGGUCUGUGGGUGCGCUAACUCGCUUAAACACCCGAGCCACAUCUGCAGAGGAUCUGAAGUCUAUGGUCAUCGCCAUAAAAGUCUCAACACUGAGUAAAGAAAUCGUAGGAUCUAAACAGUGACAUCCGUGCCAUCCUACAUCACAUACACAUAAACAGAGACCAAAAAGUAUUAGAAAUGAUUCCUAGCGAAGUUCUACCCGAGUUAUACAGUACAUAAUGUGAGGUCAGGAUAGUGACCACAUCUCUGGUCAUGUCUUUUAGUGGCCUCUGACCUCAUUGUAUGUGUAUGUCUGUGGGUUGUAACCCAGCAUUCAAAAUCUUUUAUCUUCCUUCAUCUGGAACAAGCAAAAUAUCAGUUUUGGCUAAAGCCAUCUCUAUGUUAAGAUAAGGUUGAAACCACACAGUAUUUGCAGUUCUUGAUCCGUGGUAAUAUUUUCUUUGG